RNAcentral lists this ribosomal RNA (468 nucleotides) under uncultured bacterium. RNAcentral describes it as "partial 16S ribosomal RNA". It matches the Rfam family "Bacterial small subunit ribosomal RNA", at positions 28 to 507 of the family's 1533-position model. The record is from RNAcentral.
GAUGAACGCUGGCGGCGUGCUUAACACAUGCAAGUCGAACGGAAAGGCCCUGCUUUUGCGGGGUGCUCGAGUGGCGAACGGGUGAGUAACACGCGAGUAACCUCCCCUUGUCUUUGGGAUAACUUUAGGAAACUGGGGCUAAUAUCGGAUAGGAGCUCCUGCUCCAUGGUGGUGGUUGGAAAGAUUCGGCGGUUGGGGAUGGACUGGCAGCUUAUCAGCCUGUUGGUGGAGUAGGGGCUUACCAAGGCUUUGACGGGUAGCCGGCCUGAGAGGGUGAACGGCGACAUUGGGACUAAGGUACGGCGCAGACUCCUACGGGAGGCAGCAGUGGAGAGUAUGGCACAAUGGGCGGAAGCCUGAUACAGCAACGCCGCGUGCGGAAUGCCGGCCUACGGGUUGUAAACCACUGUCGCCUGUGACAAAGAGUGAGUGACGGUAAUGGGUAAAAAAGCACCGGCUAACUACGUG